RNAcentral lists this transfer RNA (72 nucleotides) under Pelobates cultripes (western spadefoot toad). RNAcentral describes it as "tRNA.Pro". It matches the Rfam family "tRNA". From Rfam's summary of the family: Transfer RNA (tRNA) molecules are approximately 80 nucleotides in length. Their secondary structure includes four short double-helical elements and three loops (D, anti-codon, and T loops). The record is from RNAcentral. Lineage: Eukaryota; Metazoa; Chordata; Amphibia; Anura; Pelobatidae.
GGCUCGUUGGUCUAGGGGUAUAUUUCUCGCUUCGGGUGCGAGAGGUCCCUGGUUCAAAUCCUGGACGAGCCC